Molecule: ribosomal RNA, 253 nt
Filed under: uncultured bacterium
Lineage: Bacteria
Description: partial 16S ribosomal RNA
Rfam family: Bacterial small subunit ribosomal RNA
Source: RNAcentral
UACAGAGGUCUCAAGCGUUGUUCGGAUUCAUUGGGCGUAAAGGGUGCGUAGGUGGCGCGGUAAGUCGGGUGUGAAAUUUCGGAGCUUAACUCCGAAACUGCAUUCGAUACUGCCGUGCUUGAGGACUGGAGAGGAGACUGGAAUUCACGGUGUAGCAGUGAAAUGCGUAGAGAUCGUAAGGAAGACCAGUGGCGAAGGCGGGUCUCUGGACAGUUCCUGACACUGAGGCACGAAGGCCAGGGGAGCAAACGGG